UUGAACUGAGGGCUACCAAGGAGAGGUUCCAGUCCCACCCGCCUUUGGGUUGGCGACCGCCGCUCUUGGAGCUCGUGAACAUUCGAAACAGAGCGCGGGAACGGUUUCUUCCCAAUUUACGCAUGUCAUGCAUGCUGGGGGACGCCCGUGAUUCUUACUGUGACUAAAAAAGUGCGGCCAAAGCAGUCGUUCGACAUGAAUUAGAAAGCAUGGGAUAACAAAGGAGCAACCUACGGUACUACCGUUUUGGCUUUUGUUGGUUUUAAAGGUCUGUGGGAGAUUAUGGAUUCGCAUGACCGGCGGUCGGGGUUCGUCCCCACGCUUUCGUCGUAGUUGGGCUUGCUCACUGCGGCGACUUGCGGCGUCCAGGAAUGAAGGAGGGUUGUUCGGGGGAGAACGUACUUGAGC
This 408-nucleotide ribosomal RNA is filed under the name uncultured marine eukaryote. Its description in RNAcentral is "bacterial SSU rRNA". The record is from RNAcentral.